CUCUCCUCUCCCACCCCACUCUCAAAGCUUUCUCAACCUUCACCUUCGGUGUUACUAUCAUCCCCUGCCACUUUCAGGAGACUCAUACCCAUCACCUUCACCUUAGAUUUCAUCAUAGCAGGCCUCACCUACUCCUUCCCUUUCCUGACAUCCUCCAUCUUUCUUUCCCUCUCCUUAUCAUUAUGUUCUCUUCAUCAUCACCAUCAGUGUCACAACUAACCCCACCACCUCUAGGAGGCCCACGGUUGCCUCUUCUCUACCUCGGGUUUCACCAUGGCAGGCCUCUUCCUCCUCUUUCCUUCCCUUCUCCUCUCCUGUCUGUUUUGAGUCCCUCUCCUUGCCACCACCGUCAAUGCUAUGGCUAUCCUCUACCACCACUAG
This 381-nucleotide long non-coding RNA is filed under the name Elaeis guineensis (African oil palm). RNAcentral's name for it is "long non-coding RNA (EGUI_LNC071496)". The record is from RNAcentral. Lineage: Eukaryota; Viridiplantae; Streptophyta; Magnoliopsida; Arecales; Arecaceae.